AGAGUUUGAUUAUGGCUCAGGAUGAACGCUGGCGGCGUGCCUAAUACAUGCAAGUCGAACGCAUUACUUCGGUAGUGAGUGGCGAACGGGUGAGUAACACGUAGGUAACUUACCUCUAAGACGAGGAUAACGACUGGAAACGGUCGCUAAAACUGGAUAGGAUCAUUUGAGGCAUCUCGAAUGAUUUAAAGGGGCUUUCAAGCCACACUUAGAGAAAGGCCUGCGGCGCAUUAGCUAGUUGGUGGGGUAGAGGCCUACCAAGGCGAUGAUGCGUAGCCGGACUGAGAGGUCGAACGGCCACAUUGGGACUGAGACACGGCCCAAACUCCUACGGGAGGCAGCAGUAGGGAAUUUUCGGCAAUGGGGGAAACCCUGACCGAGCAAACCGCCGCGUGAACGAAGAAGGCCGUGAGGUUGUAAAGUUCUUUUCGGGAGGGGGAACAACCGUGGCAGGGAAUGGCCGCGGGAUGACGUGAAUCCCGGAAUAAGCCCCGGCUAACUACGUGCCAGCAGCCGC
This 517-nucleotide ribosomal RNA is filed under the name uncultured bacterium. RNAcentral describes it as "bacterial SSU rRNA". It matches the Rfam family "Bacterial small subunit ribosomal RNA", at positions 8 to 518 of the family's 1533-position model. The record is from RNAcentral.